AUCGUAAAAUCUGUAUUGAACCAAAUUAAACACUGAACUCUCUCUCUCUCUCUACUAAAUUCAUCACCCACCUCACUCUAUCUCUCUCUACAAAUUUCUACUUCACUUUGCACCCUAAUUAUCAAUGCUCUACUGAAUCUCGUAGCCGGGUUACUCAAUUCCAACUUGAAGCAUUGUCAACUCUCAAACGCCUCAAUUCGUUGCUCGUCGAAAGGUGUCGAAAAUGAAGAAAGGGACGGAGACAGUGAAGACAUUGAUCUUACUUGAGAAGAUCUUUUAUGAAGAUUUCUACAUGUUCUAAGAAUCUUUUUGCUAUCGAACAUUUUGAAACUUAUCCUAAAUCUUGAAAUGUAAAACUUAAUUAUGCAUUUUGGGUUGAACAUUUUGCUUUUACGGGUAUAUAUGUUGGAUUAGGAAUGUUGGAUAUUUUGGAUUAUGAAAAAUUGUGUUUUUCGGUUUA
Molecule: long non-coding RNA, 460 nt
Organism: Lycium ferocissimum
Lineage: Eukaryota; Viridiplantae; Streptophyta; Magnoliopsida; Solanales; Solanaceae
Exons: 3
Source: RefSeq, a predicted model, not a curated record